AGCGAACGCUGGCGGUAGGCCUAACACAUGCAAGUCGAACGGCAGCACAGUAAGAGCUUGCUCUUACGGGUGGCGAGUGGCGGACGGGUGAGGAAUACAUCGGAAUCUACUUUUUCGUGGGGGAUAACGUAGGGAAACUUACGCUAAUACCGCAUACGACCUACGGGUGAAAGAAGGGGAUCUUCGGACCUUGCGCGAUUGAAUGAGCCGAUGUCGGAUUAGCUAGUUGGCGGGGUAAAGGCCCACCAAGGCGACGAUCCGUAGCUGGUCUGAGAGGAUGAUCAGCCACACUGGAACUGAGACACGGUCCAGACUCCUACGGGAGGCAGCAGUGGGGAAUAUUGGACAAUGGGCGCAAGCCUGAUCCAGCCAUACCGCGUGGGUGAAGAAGGCCUUCUGGUUGUAAAGCCCUUUUGUUGGGAAAGAAAAGCAGCAGGUUAAUACCCCGCUGUUCUGACGGUACCCAAAGAAUAAGCACCGGCUAACUUCGUG
This 492-nucleotide ribosomal RNA is filed under the name uncultured bacterium. RNAcentral's name for it is "partial 16S ribosomal RNA". It matches the Rfam family "Bacterial small subunit ribosomal RNA", at positions 29 to 507 of the family's 1533-position model. The record is from RNAcentral.